This 243-nucleotide long non-coding RNA is filed under the name Lathyrus oleraceus (garden pea). RNAcentral's name for it is "Pisum sativum (pea) long non-coding RNA (PSAT_LNC014290)". The record is from RNAcentral. Lineage: Eukaryota; Viridiplantae; Streptophyta; Magnoliopsida; Fabales; Fabaceae.
UGAAGUUUGACCUUUCCCUUUAUUUUAAUUCAAGUUUAUUUUUAAGUAUUAAAAAAUGCCAAAAAUAUUUUAUUCUUUUCUUGACUUCCAAUCUUCAUCUCACUUCUGUUUUUGAUUGUUUGACCUUGACAUUCAAUGUUAUUGGAUUUAUUUUAAUUCAAGUUUAUUUUUAAGUAUUAAAAAAUGCCAAAAAUAUUUUAUUCUUUUCUUGACUUCCAAUCUUCAUCUCACUUCUGUUUUUGA